CAGUCGCCACGGGAAUACGGAGGGUGCAAGCGUUAAUCGGAAUUACUGGGCGUAAAGCGUGCGUAGGCGGUUCGUUAAGUCUGUUGUGAAAGCCCCGGGCUCAACCUGGGAAUGGCAAUGGAUACUGGCGAGCUAGAGUGUGUCAGAGGAUGGUGGAAUUCCCGGUGUAGCGGUGAAAUGCGUAGAGAUCGGGAGGAACAUCAGUGGCGAAGGCGGCCAUCUGGGACAACACUGACGCUGAGGCACGAAAGCGUGGGGAGCAAACAGGAUUAGAUACCCCAGUAGUCCCUGUCUCUUAUAC
This 301-nucleotide ribosomal RNA is filed under the name uncultured bacterium. Its description in RNAcentral is "partial 16S ribosomal RNA". It matches the Rfam family "Bacterial small subunit ribosomal RNA", at positions 509 to 807 of the family's 1533-position model. The record is from RNAcentral.